RNAcentral lists this long non-coding RNA (1247 nucleotides) under Sitophilus oryzae (rice weevil). RNAcentral describes it as "uncharacterized LOC115885018, transcript variant X2". The record is from RNAcentral. Lineage: Eukaryota; Metazoa; Arthropoda; Insecta; Coleoptera; Curculionidae.
UAUUUUGUGCUUUAUUUAUUAUUUAACAAUGGUUAAAGUGUGUGUGGUGCGAAGUUGAUUGAAUAGCUGAUGGAAAAAUAAAGAACAAAGGCAAAGCCUGUAAAAUACAUAUAAUUAUAAUUCAGUAUUGUAUUAUUUGUAUUAUAUGUAAAAAUUAGAGUCAAUCAAAAGUGUAGUAAACAUUUUUCGUAAGAUUAUUGACAUACAUGUUACAAAGUAUAUUUUUACAAUCCUUUCUAUAAAGUUACAACCUGAAUAAAAUUUAUUUUUAAUGAUUUUAAAGUUUGACAGACAUGCACAAAUUGUUGGCAUUUUUUUAAACAAAUAAAAGUAGGAAAUAAAUAAAGUUGUAGGUACUUUCAAGAAAUAUAGUUAACUGUAAGUGCUGUAUUUUAAUAAUCUAUCAAAAAUCAAAAUCAUCAGGAUAAUAUUAGGUAUUGAUUUUCAAGAAUUAGAUUACAGCGAUGGUCAAAAGCAUUUAGAUAUUGCUUUGAAAUCUACAGAUAAGGUAUGGCAGUUUCGUUUUAAAGAACAAGAUGUUAAAGUUUAUGAUAAAAUUGUCAUCAGAAAUACUGUCCACUUGCAGUAUUUACAUAGGAAAAUGUUGGAGGAUGAAGCUGUACCUACUGCCUCAGGUUAAUUUAAAUUCUGCAAGAGUUGCAACAACAGCAACAAGCAAGAAGGGCACCAUUAAAUGAAUAUUAUACACAUAAAGCAACAACAGAAUAAAAAACCAAAAUAUGAACACCAGCAACUAAAACAGGAACCAUUAAAUGAAUAUUAUAUACAGAUCAACAUUUUGUAGAGCAAUAACAGCAUCAAAUAAUGGAAAUAAUGGACCUUAUUGCACAAAUCAAAAACAAAAUUUCAGCAUUACUACUUUAUUGGUUAUAUCAAUAAAAGAAAUUGAGUUUAUCAGUCUAGAUCCUACAAGCAAGCAGAUCUAUCACAUAAUUUUAAAUGAAGAUUUAUCUAUUAUAGUAAUUUAUUCUAAUAACGAAAAAAAAACUUUGGAUCAAAAAAUAUUUUCUUUUGAUGAGGUUUAUGAAUAUUAAAGUCUGUUGAAGUUUGGCCAUUAUGUGUUGGUAUACAAUUUAUUUAUGAUGUUACAGUAGUUAAACCAUCCGAGUACAAAACAUGUUUAAAAUCCACUAUUCUUAAUGAAUGGAAACUACCAACUUGAGAGGAAGCUAAGAGAAAGGUUCUAUUGGGUGGACUACAAGGAAAAGGGAUAUACAUGAGGAUCU